Molecule: unclassified non-coding RNA, 175 nt
Filed under: uncultured Trichoderma
Lineage: Eukaryota; Fungi; Ascomycota; Sordariomycetes; Hypocreales; Hypocreaceae
Description: sequence contains ITS2
Source: RNAcentral
CAACCCUCGAACCCCUCCGGGGGUCCGGCGUUGGGGACCUCGGGAGCCCCUCAGACGGGAUCCCGGCCCCGAAAUACAGUGGCGGUCUCGCCGCAGCCUCCCCUGCGCAGUAGUUUGCACAGCUCGCACCGGGAGCGCGGCGCGUCCACGUCCGUAAAACACCCAACUUCUGAAA